This 395-nucleotide unclassified non-coding RNA is filed under the name soil metagenome. Its description in RNAcentral is "partial contains 5.8S ribosomal RNA, internal transcribed spacer 2, and large subunit ribosomal RNA". The stretch from base 1 to 122 matches the Rfam family "5.8S ribosomal RNA", at positions 35 to 154 of the family's 154-position model. The record is from RNAcentral.
GAUGAAGAACGUAGCGAAAUGCGAUACUUGGUGUGAAUUGCAGAAUCCCGUGAACCAUCGAGUCUUUGAACGCAAGUUGCGCCCGAAGCCAUCAGGUUGAGGGCACGUCUGCCUGGGCGUCACAUAUCGUUGCCCAAUGCCUAUUGCAGUGCAAUAGGAAUUUCUAGGGCGAAUGAUGGCUUCCCGUGAGCGUUGUUGCCUCGCGGUUGGUUGAAAAUCGAGUCCUUGGUAGGGUGUGCCAUGGUCGAUGGUGGUCGAGUUAGAACGUUACCGAUCAUGUGCAUGCUCCCCAAAAUAUGGCCUCUAUGACCCACACGCGUCUUUUGACGCUCAUGACGAGACCUCAGGUCAGGCGGGGCUACCCGCUGAAUUUAAGCAUAUCAAUAAGCGGAGGA